UCUGGUUGAUCCUGCCGGAGGUUACCGCUAUUGGAGUUCGAUUAAGCCAUGCGAGUCGCGAGAAAUUAGAUUCUCGGCGUACCGCUCAGUAACACGUGGGUAACCUGCCCUAUGCUGGAUAAUAACCUCGGGAAACUGAGAAUAAUGAUCCAUAGUUCACUACGCCUGGAACGGUGAGUGGAUGAAAGCUCCGGCGGCAUAGGAUGGGCCUGCGGCGUAUCAGGUUGUAGGGGGUGUAACGUACCCUCUAGCCCUCUACGCGUACGGGUGUUGGGAGACAUAGCCCGGAGAUGGAUUCUGAGACACGAAUCCAGACCCUACGGGGUGCAGCAGGCGCGAAAACUUGGCAAUGCGAGAAAUCGUGACCAGGGAACUCCAAGUGCAUCGGGUAAGACCGGUGCUUUUCUUGACUCUAAAAAGGUCUUGGAAUAAGGGGUGGGUAAGGACGGUGCCAGCCGCCGCGGUAAUACCGGCGCCUCAAGUGGUAGUCGCUUUUAUUGGGCCUAAAACGUCCGUAGCCGGUCUGAUACAUUCGUGGGUAAAUCAACCAGCUCAACUGGUUGAAUUCUGCGAGGACGGUCAGACUUGGGACCGGGAGAGGUGUGGGGUACGCUCAGGGUAGGGGUAAAAUCCUGUCAUCCUGAGCGGACCACCUGUUGCGAAGGCGCCACACUAGAACGGAUCCGACGGUCAGGGACGAAGCCUAGGGGCACGAACCGGAUUAGAUACCCGGGUAGUCCUAGGUGUAAACGCUGUGGACUUGA
This 764-nucleotide ribosomal RNA is filed under the name uncultured Candidatus Poseidoniales archaeon. Its description in RNAcentral is "bacterial SSU rRNA". It matches the Rfam family "Archaeal small subunit ribosomal RNA", at positions 1 to 771 of the family's 1478-position model. The record is from RNAcentral. Lineage: Archaea; Methanobacteriati; Thermoplasmatota; Candidatus Poseidoniia; Candidatus Poseidoniales.